GAUAGGAAGAGGAAGAAAGAGAGGUCCUAAGGGCGGUGGGAAUGAGAACGUAGAGGAAAGACUAACUAAUUGGUUUGUCAUCUCUUGUGUUGUGGUGGAAAUUUGGUUUGGUAUUUCCCAAUGCCUCUCAUUCCUAUCAUUCUUAUGCGCUCCUUCCUCUUCCUUUUUGUU
Molecule: non-coding RNA, 171 nt
Organism: Triticum aestivum (bread wheat)
Lineage: Eukaryota; Viridiplantae; Streptophyta; Magnoliopsida; Poales; Poaceae
Source: Rfam